UUCCUCUUUCUCCCUUCAUACAUCAUCAAGAAGGAUUUGGUGGCAGUUACUGAAGUUGAUGAAUCUGACUGAAAUUUCUUUGCUGGGUUGUGUGUUACAGGGGUUGCUUGAGGAGAGUUUAAAGAGCACUGAACAAAUCUGGCCAACUUCAAGAGAAAGGAGUCUGGAAGAAACUGAAAACAUUUCCAUCAGUCUACUGGGAUCUGGAAUUGGUUUCCCUGCUCUGGAUAGGAGUCUUCCAGAAUGGUAA
Molecule: long non-coding RNA, 250 nt
Filed under: Numida meleagris (helmeted guineafowl)
Lineage: Eukaryota; Metazoa; Chordata; Aves; Galliformes; Numididae
Description: lncRNA (ENSNMEG00000014364.1)
Source: RNAcentral